GUUUAAGUAGCUUAAUAAAAGUAUAACAUUGAAGCUGUUAGGAUGAGAUUUAUCUCCUUGAACA
This 64-nucleotide transfer RNA is filed under the name Sclomina guangxiensis. RNAcentral's name for it is "tRNA-Phe". Lineage: Eukaryota; Metazoa; Arthropoda; Insecta; Hemiptera; Reduviidae. The record is from RNAcentral.